This 465-nucleotide ribosomal RNA is filed under the name uncultured bacterium. Its description in RNAcentral is "bacterial SSU rRNA". It matches the Rfam family "Bacterial small subunit ribosomal RNA", at positions 338 to 795 of the family's 1533-position model. The record is from RNAcentral.
CCUACGGGCGGCACCAGUGGGGAAUAUUGCACAACGGGCGCAAGCCUGAUGCAGCCAUGCCGCGUGUGUGAAGAAGGCCUUCGGGUUGUAAAGCACUUUCAGCGGGGAGGAAGGCGCCAAGGUUAGUAACCUUGGCGAUUGACGUUACCCGCAGAAGAAGCACCGGCUAACUCCGUGCCAGCAGCCGCGGUAAUACGGAGGGUGCAAGCGUUAAUCGGAAUUACUGGGCGUAAAGCGCACGCAGGCGGUCUGUCAAGUCGGAUGUGAAAUCCCCGGGCUCAACCUGGGAACUGCAUUCGAAACUGGCGGGCUAGAGUCUUGUAGAGGGGGGUAGAAUUCCAGGUGUAGCGGUGAAAUGCGUAGAGAUCUGGAGGAACACCGGUGGCGAAGGCGGCCCCCUGGACAAAGACUGACGCUCAGGUGCGAAAGCGUGGGGAGCAAACAGGAUUAGAUACCCUUGUAGUC